Camellia sinensis is the source of this 1136-nucleotide non-coding RNA. Lineage: Eukaryota; Viridiplantae; Streptophyta; Magnoliopsida; Ericales; Theaceae. The record is from RefSeq and is a predicted model, not a curated record.
UUGCAAAACCUUAUCCAUCAACGUAUAACUAUUCAAUUUUGUGAUCGAUUUUCAUUUUCUUAAGCUUACUCUUGCAAAUAGGUUGCUUUGCUCUAAUGUAGAAGAACAACGUUCAGUAAUGUUAGAUUUUCUUGUUGAUAUGCUUAGAAUUGUUGACUAUAGAGUUCAUGGCAUUUGAUAGAGAGUUAAUGAGUAUUUUAAUGGAAUAAGAUUUGGACCUAAGGCUUGGAUAAAAUGAAAUUACAAGAGGUACAAUUUUCAUUUCAAUUCAGUGAUGAAAAAUAGUGCAUCUUAUCUUAUUAUUUUCAGAUUUGGAUGUCUAAUCCAACUAGGUGGGCCAAAGUUUAGAUUCAAAAUAGGGCUCUCAGCAAAUUCAUAAGUAAAAAUUCAGAUUGGCCAAUCUGAAGGGCCCAACCCAAAACGAGGAAUUCGAGAUCCAGAACAAACUCUUCUUUUCUCAGUCAGCCAUAUUAGAACUCGAGAGCAGCGACUCAAGCUCAGCUAGCGAUCAUCAGCGAAGACUCGAACAGCCAUGUCCGCCGAAACCUACAUGCAAUCAAGUAAAUCUCAGUGAUAUUGAAGACGUAAAAAAAGGACUCAAAUAAGUUCAACCUUUGUGAUUGGUAUUACUUGGGACGGAAAGACUAGCAAAGUUCCACUAUUUUCUUUAAAACAAAAUGAAGCAUCAUAUGCAAGUGGGCAGAUAAAAGUAUUUUUCUUCAACCAUUGGAAUUUUUUCUACUUUUUCUAGAUGAAACUAAGCUUUUAGUUAAAUUUUUUUUUUUUGGUUUGAAAAUAUGAAAAUCAAUGCUUUUAGCAUUUUAGUUUAAUAUCUAUUAAAAUGCUAGUCUACAUUACAAUCCUAUAUUCAAUCUUUAUGUAGAUGAAGAUAUUAGGUAUGUGUUGUGAUUCACACUUGUGCACAUAAACAAAAGCACAAUUACUGUUGGUUUGUAGUUGCCAACUUGAAGUUACAUGCCGUGGGGUUCUGGAAGAAGCUUAAGAUUUGCUAAAGGUAUGUGUGUUAACUUAGUUGGGAUAUGCUGCUUAGUUAUAAAGCUUUUUUCUUAAUCCUUAUUUUCUUGAUGUACUUCAUUAUUGAGUUAUUAAAAUUUUCUUUUUUUUUUUAAAAAAAA